RNAcentral lists this ribosomal RNA (248 nucleotides) under uncultured Anaerolineaceae bacterium. Its description in RNAcentral is "partial 16S ribosomal RNA". It matches the Rfam family "Bacterial small subunit ribosomal RNA", at positions 796 to 1041 of the family's 1533-position model. Lineage: Bacteria; Bacillati; Chloroflexota; Anaerolineae; Anaerolineales; Anaerolineaceae. The record is from RNAcentral.
CUAGCCCUAAACGAUGUAGACUUGGCGUCGGUGGCUUAAUCGUCAUCGGUGUCGUAGCUAACGCGAUAAGUCUACCGCCUGGGGACUACGGCCGCAAGGUUAAAACUCAAAGGAAUUGACGGGUCCCCGCACAAGCAGCGGAGCGUGUGGUUUAAUUCGUUGCUACACGAAGAACCUUACCUGGGUUUGACAUAGCAGUGGUAGGAAUACGAAAGUGGACCGACCCUUCGGGGAGCUGUUACAGGUGU